This 253-nucleotide ribosomal RNA is filed under the name uncultured bacterium. RNAcentral's name for it is "partial 16S ribosomal RNA". It matches the Rfam family "Bacterial small subunit ribosomal RNA", at positions 524 to 776 of the family's 1533-position model. The record is from RNAcentral.
UACGUAGGGGGCUAGCGUUGUCCGGAAUCAUUGGGCGUAAAGAGCUCGUAGGCGGCCACUCAAGUCGAAUGUGAAACCUCGAGGCUUAACCUCGAGCCUGCAUUCGAUACUGGGCGGCUAGAGUCUGGUAGGGGGAUCUGGAAUUCCUGGUGUAGCGGUGGAAUGCGCAGAUAUCAGGAGGAACACCGGUGGCGAAGGCGGGAUCCUGGGCCAGUACUGACGCUGAGGAGCGAAAGCGUGGGGAGCAAACAGG